UGCGGCUAUGGCGAAACUGGCAGACGCGCAAGACUUAGGAUCUUGUCCCGAAAGGGGUGGGGGUUCAACUCCCUCUAGCCGCAU
RNAcentral lists this transfer RNA (84 nucleotides) under Candidatus Omnitrophica bacterium ADurb.Bin292. Its description in RNAcentral is "tRNA-Leu". It matches the Rfam family "tRNA". From Rfam's summary of the family: Transfer RNA (tRNA) molecules are approximately 80 nucleotides in length. The record is from RNAcentral. Lineage: Bacteria; Pseudomonadati; Candidatus Omnitrophota.